UGAGGAAUAUUGGGCAAUGGAGGCAACUCUGACCCAGCCAUGCCGCGUGCAGGAAGACGGUCCUAUGGAUUGUAAACUGCUUUUAUACGGGAAGAAACACCCCCUCGUGAGGGGGCUUGACGGUACCGUAAGAAUAAGGAUCGGCUAACUCCGUGCCAGCAGCCGCGGUAAUACGGAGGAUCCAAGCGUUAUCCGGAAUCAUUGGGUUUAAAGGGUCCGUAGGCGGCCUUAUAAGUCAGUGGUGAAAUCUCCCAGCUCAACUGGGAAACUGCCAUUGAUACUGUAGGGCUUGAAUUAUUAUGAAGUAACUAGAAUAUGUAGUGUAGCGGUGAAAUGCUUAGAUAUUACAUGGAAUACCAAUUGCGAAGGCAGGUUACUAAUAAUGGAUUGACGCUGAUGGACGAAAGCGUGGGGAGCGAACAGGAUUAGAUACCCUGGUAGUCCACGCCGUAAACGAUGGAUACUAGCUGUUGGGAGCAAUCUCAGUGGCUAAGCGAAAGUGAUAAGUAUCCCACCUGGGA
This 521-nucleotide ribosomal RNA is filed under the name uncultured bacterium. RNAcentral's name for it is "bacterial SSU rRNA". It matches the Rfam family "Bacterial small subunit ribosomal RNA", at positions 355 to 878 of the family's 1533-position model. The record is from RNAcentral.